RNAcentral lists this unclassified non-coding RNA (253 nucleotides) under uncultured Oceanospirillales bacterium. Its description in RNAcentral is "contains 16S-23S intergenic spacer region". It matches the Rfam family "Bacterial small subunit ribosomal RNA", at positions 524 to 776 of the family's 1533-position model. The record is from RNAcentral. Lineage: Bacteria; Pseudomonadati; Pseudomonadota; Gammaproteobacteria; Oceanospirillales.
UACGAAGGGUGCGAGCGGUCAUCGGAAUAACUGGGCGUAAAGCACGCGUAGGUGGUUGAGUCAGUCAGCUGUGAAAGCCCCGUGCUUAACCUGGGAACUGCACCUGAUACUGCUUGACUAGAGUACGGUAGAGGGCAGUGGAAUUUACUGUGUAGCGGUGAAAUGCGUAGAUAUAGGAAGGAACACCAGUGGCGAAGGCGACUGCCUGGACUGAUACUGACACUGAGGUGCGAAAGCGUGGGUAGCAAACAGG